RNAcentral lists this long non-coding RNA (778 nucleotides) under Bos taurus (domestic cattle). Its description in RNAcentral is "long non-coding RNA NONBTAT018570". Lineage: Eukaryota; Metazoa; Chordata; Mammalia; Artiodactyla; Bovidae. The record is from RNAcentral.
UUUGGGGCUGUUAUAAAGUAACUUACAGGUUGAAUACUAAGGUAUAGAACUCAAACUUUGAAAUAAUAUGAAAGUCUCAAAGUAGAAUAUAAUAUUAAGUAUAACAGAUUAUCUUAAAAUAUGCAUGCUAAUGUUCCCAUUCUAAAAUUUCACUGGACCUCUGUUUGACCUCUAAAUGUUCUAAAUUUAGUUACUUUAUUUGAUUUUUAUAUGUGCAAUUAAAAUAUUUCAAGAUAGCAAAUAACGCAAGACUUAAGAAUUUUAAAUCAUAACUCUCUAUCAUUUACAAUAACUGUUUCAUCGUGUGAAAGUAUUAUCUCCUUUCUCAAGGAGAACAGACUUGACAAGAAAGUGACAGCUUUAAAUCUGCAUUUCAUUAAACUCAAGUAAAUUCUUUGUCUCAACUUUUAGGAAGGUUAUAGACAGAACACUUACCUAUAUACUAGAAGUAAAUGUUAAAAUCCACCUCUUUAUAGAACAAACAACAUUGUUUUCAGCUUCAUAAAAUGUGAGCCUAAAUUUUUAUCAUUUUCUACUUGUACAAGAAAUAUAAACUUAUGUAACCUUAUUACAUUUAAUGAAGGUUGUAACCUUCUACUUUGAAAAUUAUAUUAUUAAACAUUAUAAACCUCAUUACAGUUCAAAAAUAUGAAACUAGAUCCUAUUUUACCUACUUAAAAUAGUGAGUUUUUUCCUCCUACCAAUACAUAAUUCCUCUCUGAUAAUCAACAAUCUUUUUUUUUUUUCCUUUGGCUGUUUCUUUCAUUUAGUUUUUUAG